AAAGAGGAAAGCUGAGCACG
RNAcentral lists this unclassified non-coding RNA (20 nucleotides) under Chlamydomonas reinhardtii. RNAcentral's name for it is "small RNA Cre_0024". Lineage: Eukaryota; Viridiplantae; Chlorophyta; Chlorophyceae; Chlamydomonadales; Chlamydomonadaceae. The record is from RNAcentral.